UACGGGGGGAGCAAGCGUUGUCCGGAAUCAUUGGGCGUAAAGAGCGUGUAGGCGGCCAGAAAAGUCCGCUGUGAAAACUCGAGGCUCAACUUCGAGCUGUCGGUGGAAACUUUCUGGCUAGAGUCCGGAAGAGGAGAAUGGAAUUCCUGGUGUAGCGGUGAAAUGCGCAGAUAUCAGGAAGAACACCCGUGGCGAAGGCGGCUUUCUGGGACGGUACUGACGCUGAGGCGCGAAAGCGUGGGGAGCAAACAGG
RNAcentral lists this ribosomal RNA (253 nucleotides) under uncultured bacterium. RNAcentral's name for it is "partial 16S ribosomal RNA". It matches the Rfam family "Bacterial small subunit ribosomal RNA", at positions 524 to 776 of the family's 1533-position model. The record is from RNAcentral.